GGGAGGCCCUCAGGAAACUUACAAUCAUGGCGGAAGGCGAAGGGAAAGCAAGCACCUUCUUCACAAGGAGGCAGGAAAGAGAGUGUGAGGGGGGAAUUGCAAAACACUUUAAACCAUCAGAUCUUGUGAGAACUCCUUCACUGUCACAAGAACAUGUGGGAAACCGCCCCCAUAAUCCAAUCACCUCCCAUCAGGUCCCUCCCUCAACACGUGGGGAUUACAAUUCAAGAUGAGAUUUGAGUGGGCACACAGAGCCAAACCAUAUCAGAAGUAAAGGUGAACUGUAAAGAGAUCUUCAAAUUUUAGUGACUGUCAUUAUAUGAUAGGCUCCUUGAGGGCAGGGACAGUGGGCUUUUGUGUGUGUACCCCUGAGGUGGCUAAAGUGUCUCACACAAAGCAGGUGCAGUGCUUCAGUUUGAAUCAAAUUGAAUGCUUCUCAUGCUUAUUCUUUCCAUAGACAGCUAAAGAAAACAGAGUCACAGAGAGAUGAGAGAUGAAGCCACUGGCCAGGAGCACACUCAGGGAUUCUGUCCCCUGCCUCAGGCUGAGUCCCGCAGUCAAACUCUGUCCCUCUGUGAGGCUGAAAGACAUGGGAGGAGGAGGCUCGUCCAAGGGCCAGCUUUGUCACUCACCUGCUGGGUGACUUUGAGCAAAUCCCUUCCUCCCUCUGGAACUUCAGGAAUCACUUCCUUGUCAUUCACACAGGGUCAAUCUUCACCUUAUAAGUACCCGCGGGUUCUAUAUACCGUCAUUUGAAGAGUAGAACAUGCCUUGCAAGUGUGUUUGCUGCAUCACACGGGUAGAGGCCAAGCUGCAGGCUGCCUUGCAGGCCUGCUUAGACGCUCCUGUGGGUAACCAGGGGCGGUGAUUCAGGGCGUACCAAGUACCUGCGUCAACGUGAUUCGCUUUGAUUUUCCCAGGCCGUGAGAUACUUCAGACAGACACAAUUUCUCCCAGCGACAGGGGAGGAAGCCGAGGCCUUGAGAAGAAUCAUUUUUUGAGCACCAAAAGAAGAAACUGGUGGCGGGGCGCAGUGGCUCACACCUGUAAUCCCAGCACUUUGGGAGGCCGAGGCGGGCGGAUCACCUGAGAUCAGGCAUUCGAGACCAACCUGGCCAACAUGGUGAAACCCCAUCUCUACUAAAAAUACAAAAAUUAGCCGGGCAUGGUGGUGCAUGCCUGAAAUCCCAGCUACUCAGGAGGUUGAGGAGGGAGAAUUGCUUGAACCUGGGGGGCGGAGGUUGCAGUCAGCCGAGAUUGCACCACUGCCCUCCAGCCUGGGUGACAGUGAGACUCCAUCUCAAAAAAAAAAAAAAAAAAAAAAAGAAGAAGAAGAAGAAGAAACUGGCAACUCUGGCAACUCUCCUAAGAGGGAGGAAGAGAGGAGAAAGGACAGGGCAGGGCGGUGACAAGUGUCCUGGAACGGAAAAAGAAAAAAGAAGAAAAAAAUUGCACCUGUGUAGGAGGAGAUGCUGGUGGCCCUUGGAGUGCCCAUGUGAGAGAAGAGCCAGUUCCAGGAUUCCAGUGAGAGCAGCCAGCUCAGCGUGGCUCAGCAGCGGGGGACAGCCGUCUAGGAAUCCCUGCGGAGCACCCCAGAGAAGGAGCUUCACCUCGGGACCUGGGUCUCAUUUUCAGGGACUUCAUCUCCCUGAAAAGCAAUGCUGCAUCAGACACAGAGACGCCCCGACAGAACGGAAAACAAUAUGCACUGUUCAACAUGAAACUCCCAUUCAUCUCACUGCUGCAUGACUUUGCCUAAGAGUUCAGGAUAAAGUAAUGUUUGCAAAUACAUCCUGAAAUUGCUUUUGUGGGUUAGCAUCAUUAGAUUGCAUUAUGCUUUGGGAUUAAAAGCGUUAACUUUGCCAUGUAGCUAUUUCAAAUAGAUCACAAGCUCUUUUUUUUUUUUUUUUGAUGAUCACCACUAUACUAACGAGGAUCAAAUAGACCACAAGUUCUGCAACCCUGUUUAGAUGUUUCUUCAUUUCAUAAAGUAUAGGUACCAAGAAUCUCAGUACCUCCUCCUCUCCCCCCAGACUUUCUCUUGUUAUUCUGGGAUCAAAGGGGCCUCAUGUCCCCUCUGAGGGACCUUACCCCUAUCAAGCAGGCUGGCAAGCGGGAGAACGGAGGCCUGAGAAGCUGCAACACAGCUACACUGAACUCCCCAGCCAAGCCAUGUGCUUGCAUCUGCCCGUCUACUCCAGAGUGUGAGCCAAACAUCUGAGACUGUGAGAAUUCGGAGAGCUGACCCCAGACGUUGGUUCCAGUGUUGGGAGGAACCUGGGAAAAUCAAGGGAUGCUUUGGUCCUGUCAUUGUGACUGACAAGCAAUUAGAGGUGAAUAUCUGUGAAUAUUUGGGGGUUUAGAAUGUACCUGUUGAAAUGAAAUGCCCCUGGGAUAUGAAAUAACUUUAGCUGUUGGCAUCUAAGACAACAGAGGCAGCUGGACGUGGUGACUCACGCCUGUAAUCCCAGCACUUUGGGAGGCCGAGGCGGGUGGAUCACCUGAGAUCACGAGUUUGAGACCAGCCUGACCAACAUGGUGAAACCCCAUCUCUACUAAAUACAAAAAAUUAGCCGGGCGUAGUGGCGCAUGCCUGUAAUUCCAGCUACUUGGGAGGCUGAGGCAGGAGAAUUGCUUGAAUCCGGGAGGCGGAGGUUACAGUGAGCCAAGAUUGCACCAUUGCACUCCAGCCUGGGCAACAAGAGUGAAACUCCAUCUCCCCCCCCACCCCGCAAAAAAAGACAACAGAGGCGUUCAAUCAGUCGGCCGCGGUGAGCAAUGUCCCGUGAGAAUGGGGCCCAAGACAGAAGUCUAGGAAAGGGUGUAUGUGGGCGAGGUAGACACAGAUAGGGGCUGUGGACGGAAGGACUCUAGGACCUGCUUGCAGUCUGUCAUGAGUCUUUGGACUAUUUAUAGCUGGUGACCUCAGAUGAGUCACCCCCAUGAUUCAGUUUCCCCAUUUCUCUGAGAUAUGGAGACAGCAGCUGGUCAGGAAGGGACCCUUUCCCUCCUCUCCGCCUCUCCACCGCCACCACUGCCGUCACCGGCACCCAUGUUCUGCCCACACAGUAGCCCAGGAUGCCAAGGGCUAAAGGCUUGACAUAGACGACACCUAAUGUAAUCUCACAGCCCUGGGACACAGCUCUUGUUAUUGCCUCCACUUUGCAGAAGGGAAAAGUGAGCCUUAUAGAGGCUGAAUAACAUGCCUGAUGUCUACACUGGGGAUGGGUGGAUGUGGGCUGGUGUUCGGGCCACCCUGACUCACACUUGGUUGGCCAGGGCUUCCACUGCUAAAUCCAUCUGGGUCAGGGGCUGGCAACAUUUUCUUCAUCAG
RNAcentral lists this long non-coding RNA (3334 nucleotides) under Homo sapiens (human). Its description in RNAcentral is "HSALNT0184725". Lineage: Eukaryota; Metazoa; Chordata; Mammalia; Primates; Hominidae. The record is from RNAcentral.